AGAUCAACAUACAUGAAAAGAUCAACAUGUGAAGAGUUCAACAUACAUGAAGAGAUCAACAUACAUGAAGAGUUCAACAUGUUAAAAGUUCAACAUACAUGAAGAGAUCAACAUUUGAAGAGUUCAACAUACAUGAAGAGAUCAACAUGUGAAGCGUUCAACAUUUGAAGAGUUCAACAUUUGAAGAGUUCAACAUACAUGAAGAAAUCAACAUGUGAAAAGUU
This is a long non-coding RNA of Solea senegalensis (Senegalese sole), 224 nucleotides long. RefSeq lists it as uncharacterized. Lineage: Eukaryota; Metazoa; Chordata; Actinopteri; Pleuronectiformes; Soleidae. The record is from RefSeq and is a predicted model, not a curated record. The transcript has 2 exons.